AGUGAACGCUGGCGGUAGGCCUAACACAUGCGAGUCGAACGGCAGCACAGUAAGAGCUUGCUCUUACGGGUGGCGAGUGGCGGACGGGUGAGGAAUACAUCGGAAUCUACUUUUUCGUGGGGGAUAACGUAGGGAAACUUACGCUAAUACCGCAUACGACCUACGGGUGAAAGCAGGGGAUCUUCGGACCUUGCGCGAUUGAAUGAGCCGAUGUCGGAUUAGCUAGUUGGCGGGGUAAAGGCCCACCAAGGCGACGAUCCGUAGCUGGUCUGAGAGGAUGAUCAGCCACACUGGAACUGAGACACGGUCCAGACUCCUACGGGAGGCAGCAGUGGGGAAUAUUGGACAAUGGGCGCAAGCCUGACCCAGCCAUACCGCGUGGGUGAAGAAGGCCUUCGGGUUGUAAAGCCCUUUUGUUGGGAAAGAAAAGCAGCAGGUUAAUACCCCGCUGUUCUGACGGUACCCAAAGAAUAAGCACCGGCUAACUUCGUG
This 492-nucleotide ribosomal RNA is filed under the name uncultured bacterium. Its description in RNAcentral is "partial 16S ribosomal RNA". It matches the Rfam family "Bacterial small subunit ribosomal RNA", at positions 29 to 507 of the family's 1533-position model. The record is from RNAcentral.